RNAcentral lists this ribosomal RNA (253 nucleotides) under uncultured bacterium. RNAcentral's name for it is "partial 16S ribosomal RNA". It matches the Rfam family "Bacterial small subunit ribosomal RNA", at positions 524 to 776 of the family's 1533-position model. The record is from RNAcentral.
UACAGAGGGUGCGAGCGUUGUCCGGAAUCACUGGGCGUAAAGGGCGCGUAGGUGGCGCGGGCAGUCAACGGUGAAAGUUCGGGGCUCAACCCUGAAUCGGCCGUCGAUACUCCCGGGCUUGAGCACUGUAGAGGCGGGUGGAAUUCCGGGUGUAGCGGUGGAAUGCGUAGAGAUCCGGAAGAACACCAGUGGCGAAGGCGGCCCGCUGGGCAGUGGCUGACGCUGAGGCGCGACAGCGUGGGGAGCAAACAGG